GAUGAACGCUGGCGGCGUGCCUAAUACAUGCAAGUCGAACGCUGGAAAUCUAGCUUGCUCGCUUGAAGGAGUGGCGAACGGGUGAGUAAUACAUAAGCAACCUACCCACGAAGACUGGGAUAAUCUCUGGAAACGGGGACUAAUACCGGAUAGGUAAUCGGAAGGCAUCUUCUGAUUAUUAAAGGUUAAAAACACUGGUGGAUGGGCUUAUGGCGCAUUAGUUAGUUGGUGAGGUAACGGCCCACCAAGACGAUGAUGCGUAGCCGGCCUGAGAGGGUGAACGGCCACAUUGGGACUGAGACACGGCCCAGACUCCUACGGGAGGCAGCAGUAGGGAAUUUUCGGCAAUGGGGGAAACCCUGACCGAGCAACGCCGCGUGAGUGAUGACGGCCUUCGGGGUGUAAAGCUCUGUUGUAAGGGAAGAACGGUAGAUAGAGAAUAUCUAAAUGACGGUACCUUACCAGAAAGCCACGGCUAACUACGUG
This 486-nucleotide ribosomal RNA is filed under the name uncultured bacterium. RNAcentral's name for it is "partial 16S ribosomal RNA". It matches the Rfam family "Bacterial small subunit ribosomal RNA", at positions 28 to 507 of the family's 1533-position model. The record is from RNAcentral.